AGAACCCACCCUUAGGUAUUAUUAUAGGUGACACAUCUUUAAGCACAUUUUAAUUUUGCUGUUUUGAAAAAAAAAAAACCUUAAAGGUAAUAUUCUUCGUUCCAUUUCUCCAACUUGAGUUUUUAAGAUAUACAACUCAGAACAGAAUUUGAACACCAUUCAAACACAAAGUUGUAUCCCUAAGACCACAAUACAUAUGCCUGAAGCAUCAAUUUUCUUAGAAUAAAAAAGUCUUUUAAGGGCUGGGGACACAGACGGGACUGGGGGAUGUAACUCAGUUGAUAAAUGCCUGACUGGGGAAUGUAACUCAGCUGAUAAAUGCCUGACUGGCAUGCACAACCCUGGGUUCAAACCCCAGCACUACAUAAACUGGGUAUAAUGGCCUGUGCCUUCAAUCUGGGUAGGGGUAGGUAAAAUGAUCAGAAAUUAAAGGACAUCAUCAGCUACAUAGUAAGUUUUAAACUUGGUUUGGGCUACAUGAGACCUUAUCAAAGAAAGAAAAAGAAGACAUUUUCUAAUUAUGAGGAAACAACUUUGGGUCAUAGCUUAUAUUUUAAAAUAAAAACAUAUUACAUGCUGGUUAGGCGCUAACCAUUAUUAAGAUUCUUGGGGCACUAGCAAUGAAUAAGAUAGACAUGCCUUCUCAGAACACAUUCUAACAAAGCUGCCAUCAUAAUGAAGUUAUUUAUAAACAUGAAGCCUACCAUAGAGAAAUAGAGGUCACUGUCCGAAGGAUUGUGUGGGAAAGUUUGAGACACACCAUAUCUCUUUUUUAAAUUCUCUCAUAUAUUACAUCCUGACCACAGUUUCCUCCCCCUCUUCUCCUCCUAGUCCCUCCCUUCCACCUCCCCAUCCACACCUCCUGUUUCAUCUCAGAAAAGGGUAAGCUUUAUAGGGUGUAUGAUAUCAACUAAACAUGGCAAAUCAAGUUAUAAUAAGAUUAGGUACCUCCCCUUAUAGUAAGACUGGAUAUGUCAACCCAGUAGGAGAAAAAGGGACCCCAAAGCAGACAAAAGAGUCAUGGACAGCCCCCAUUCCCACUGUUGGGAGUCCCACAAGAGAGAGACACACUGUAUCUUAAACUCAGCGAUGAGAUACUAUCUUGAGACAAAAACAGUAACACUAUUCAUUGACAUACAACCUCAAACAUCCUGUUUCUGAAGCCCCAGCCAGAAAGCAGGGUUACUACUGGACUGAGCCAAACAAUUUUGGGGUAAUCAUAAUUCUGAUUAAUCCUCUUAAGAGUCUUUAUGUAAUACCUGUCAGAACAUGUAAAUACCAUGACAUCAUUAAAAAGAUGGAGAAAAUCAAUUGUAAAGAAAAUUAAUAAAUCAGUUAUCUAAAAAGC
This 1348-nucleotide long non-coding RNA is filed under the name Rattus norvegicus (Norway rat). RNAcentral describes it as "long non-coding RNA NONRATT011952". Lineage: Eukaryota; Metazoa; Chordata; Mammalia; Rodentia; Muridae. The record is from RNAcentral.